GCAUAUCAAUAAGCGGAGGAAAAGAAACCAACAGGGAUUGCCUUAGUAACGGCGAGUGAAGCGGCAACAGCUCAAAUUUGAAAGCUGGCCCUUUCAGGGUCCGCAUUGUAAUUUGUAGAGGAUGAUUCGGCGAGGGCUCCCGCCUAAGUCCCCUGGAACGGGGCGUCAUAGAGGGUGAGAAUCCCGUAUGCGGUGGGCUGCCUUAGCCAUGUGAAUCUCCUUCGACGAGUCGAGUUGUUUGGGAAUGCAGCUCUAAAUGGGAGGUAAAUUUCUUCUAAAGCUAAAUACCGGCCAGAGACCGAUAGCGCACAAGUAGAGUGAUCGAAAGAUGAAAAGCACUUUGGAAAGAGAGUUAAAAAGUACGUGAAAUUGUUGAAAGGGAAGCGCUUGCAACCAGACUUGUCCGCAGUUGCUCAGCCGGUCUCCUGACCGGCGUACUCUUCUGCGGCCAGGCCAGCAUCAGUUCGGGCGGUCGGAUAAAGACCUCGGGAAUGUAGCUCCUCUCGGGGAGUGUUAUAGCCCGGGGUGGAAUGCGGCCAGCCUGGACUGAGGAUCUCGCUUCGGCAAGGAUGCUGGCGUAAUGGUUGUAAGCGGCCCGUCUUGAAACACGGACC
This 614-nucleotide ribosomal RNA is filed under the name Diplodia seriata. Its description in RNAcentral is "eukaryotic LSU rRNA". It matches the Rfam family "Eukaryotic large subunit ribosomal RNA", at positions 38 to 667 of the family's 3401-position model. Lineage: Eukaryota; Fungi; Ascomycota; Dothideomycetes; Botryosphaeriales; Botryosphaeriaceae. The record is from RNAcentral.